Molecule: transfer RNA, 72 nt
Filed under: Bos taurus (domestic cattle)
Lineage: Eukaryota; Metazoa; Chordata; Mammalia; Artiodactyla; Bovidae
Also listed under: 3 other names
Rfam family: tRNA
About the family: Transfer RNA (tRNA) molecules are approximately 80 nucleotides in length. Their secondary structure includes four short double-helical elements and three loops (D, anti-codon, and T loops). Further hydrogen bonds mediate the characteristic L-shaped molecular structure. tRNAs have two regions of fundamental functional importance: the anti-codon, which is responsible for specific mRNA codon recognition, and the 3' end, to which the tRNAs corresponding amino acid is attached (by aminoacyl-tRNA synthetases). tRNAs cope with the degeneracy of the genetic code in two manners: having more than one tRNA (with a specific anti-codon) for a particular amino acid; and 'wobble' base-pairing, i.e. permitting non-standard base-pairing at the 3rd anti-codon position.
Source: Rfam by way of RNAcentral
UCCCUGGUAGCUCAGAUGGUAAAGAAUCUGCCUGCAAUGCAGGAAACCCAGGUUCGGUACUUGGUUUGGGAA